Molecule: ribosomal RNA, 253 nt
Filed under: uncultured bacterium
Lineage: Bacteria
Description: partial 16S ribosomal RNA
Rfam family: Bacterial small subunit ribosomal RNA
Source: RNAcentral
UACGUAGGGGGCAAGCGUUGUCCGGAAUCAUUGGGCGUAAAGUGCGUGUAGGCGGCCCGAUAAGUCCGCUGUGAAAGUCCAGGGCUCAACCCUGGGAUGCCGGUGGAUACUGUCGGGCUCGAGUCCGGAAGAGGCGAGUGGAAUUCCUGGUGUAGCGGUGAAAUGCGCAGAUAUCAGGAGGAACACCAAUGGCGAAGGCAGCUCGCUGGGACGUGACUGACGCUGAGACGCGAAAGCGUGGGGAGCAAACAGG